Molecule: long non-coding RNA, 2836 nt
Organism: Miniopterus natalensis
Lineage: Eukaryota; Metazoa; Chordata; Mammalia; Chiroptera; Miniopteridae
Source: RefSeq, a predicted model, not a curated record
GCAGCAGCAUGCAAAUAAGAUACUUAGUGUAUAUUAAAAAAUACUAGAAAUACAUAUUUUCCUGAAUAGGUUUUUUUUUUUUUCAGUACGAAGGAGAUUUCGACAUCUGAAGAAUGUCUGUAGGGCCGUUAACACCUUUCAGAAAUGUUCAUAAUAUUAAUAGUUCAUUCCUUUUGUUGGUUCUCCAUUUUUUCUAACAUCUGCAAACUACCCAAUCUCAUAGAGUGUUGAUGAGCUGAUCCUCUGAUUGAAAGAUCCCAGCUUGGCUAGAUGAGGAGAAUCUGUUUUGUGAUGUCCAGGACAGAUUCAGCCUACUCCACACCAAGGAAUGACAAGCGAAGUUUUAAUCCUAGACGUCUGCUUUACAGUGCUUAGGUUUGCCUAAAAUUGAAACAGAUCAUUUUGCUGACCCAUAGAGCACAGAAAAUAAAAGUUCAUAUUGCUAACUGAUCCAGGCCACGUAAGCAUGUAAGGAAAUGUUUAAAAGGAAGUGUCUCUGAGACCACAGGAAUAUAAAAUGAGAAGAUAACAUUUGGAAGACCAAAAGUGCUUGGGACAGAUAAGUAGUCUUUACCCAUUUGUUAUGAUUGUAACCACAGCAUAGCCUCACUGUCUUGACUGAUGUACACGACAUCAGAAUAAUUUCACGACUAAAACAUCAGUUAAAGUAUUGCAAUUAAAUCAAGAGUCAGAGUCAAAUUCCACUUAAUUCAUCACAGAAUUUGCAAAUAUCCUUGUUUCUAUCUUCUCUUGUAUAAAAUGUUGGUUAAAUUAGGAUUUAUUAUUUACAAUUGUUACAUGAGAAUUCAGUGAGAUUUUAUUUUUAAAGCUUUUUGUAUUGUACCUAAACGUGAUGAAAACCUAGUGACUUUACUUAGCGAAAACAAAUGAAAUUACUGUAAGGCAGUGUCCUUCUAACUUUAGUUAAAUGUAAAAGAACAUUAGUCAUUAACAUGUAGGAAAUGUUAAGAAUUUUUAAAUAGAUUUAAAAUAAAAAAUAAAAUAGAGGUGUAGUACUUCCAUUUGCUCAGAAGUAUUGUUUUAAUUACCUGUUGCUGUGAAACAAACCGCACUAACACUCAGUGGCUUACAAAAUUUUCUCAUGGUUGUCAAUAUAGACGGGGUUCAGCUGAGCAGCCAUUCUCCUGGUCUCGUGAUGUUCACUUGUGUGGCUGUGUUCAGGGGUGUGUGGGCUGUGCUCCGCUAAGACUUUGGGAUGGAUGAGCUUUUCUCCCUCUCCAUUUGUCUUCUCUACAUUGUCUGUCCACAUGUCCUCACCACAGGGUAGCCAGACUAAUUGUAUCGUGGCUCAUGCCUUCCAAGUGUACAAAAGCAGAGUUGCUUCUUAAGACUUGGGUCUGACACUUGAACAGUAUCACUUUUGUAAUGGUCUAUUGGUUAAAGCAAAUCACAGGCCAAAACCAGAAUUUAUAUAAGAAUCUACAAAAAGACAUGAAUUUCAAGAUGUAUCGUUCACAAGGGACUAAAGUAACAAUUUGCUACAGACAAAUUAAUUCAUUGGAUAAAUAUUUAUCAAUCAUAUAUUAUUUUCCUAUUCCAGAUACUGAGGAUAUAUCAGUGGGGGAAGAAGACAAAGAUUCCUGCUCUUGAAUAUUUUAUAUUUCAGUGAGGACAAACCAUCAUUAAAUAUAUAAAUAGGUAAAAGAUAUAGGAUGUCAGCAGAGUUCAUCCUGACUGAUGCAUUAGCGCAGCAAUCUACAAUUUUCACAUAGCAGCCUGGGUCUUGUUAGCCUGACCUUUUGAAUGCCAGAGAAUACACAUUAUACCUAUCUCACAAAAUGCCAGGACAAGAUCUAUAAAUAUUGACAGAGUAAAAAACGUUAACACUUUUCUAAUUCUUAUAGUCAAAUACACAAAAGUGCUGUAUAUCAAUAAUAAAAGCACAUAAUAUCUAAAAAUAACAUACACAAGGUGUGAGACACAAUCCUGCAUCAUGGUGUCUACUGUUAUUUAAAAUACAUUACAUUUCAAAAUAAGCAUUUAUUUCCAUUUCUCAAAUGAUGAUUGGGCAGAAAAGACUUAACAAAGCAGAUCUGAGGCUGACAUUCUUGGAAAAAAGUGUUUAUAAAAUUAUUUGUUAGCUGUCGUCUGAAAACUUGGAGUUUGCGAGGGGCUAUUCACUAUUCACUCAGAAUUCAUGAGUGGUCAUGGUACCCAGACUGUUUGUGCAAACAAUAUGGUUUAUACUGAACAAGUAUACCUUUUGAAAGUCAGUAAUUUCGGUAUGUACAAAGUACAGAGUGACUACAUGACCAGCCCCAAUAAAAACCCUGGGUGUUCAGUCUCUAGUGAGCCUCUUUGCUAGGCAAUAUUUCGCAUAUGUUGUCACAACUCAGGUUAAAACAAAUAAGCACCUCCUAUAUGACUCUACUGGGAUAGAACUCUUGGAAGCUUGCGUCUGAUUUCCUCUGAAGUUUGUCCCAUGAAUCUUUUCCCUUUGCAACUUUUGUUUUGCAUAGUUUUGCUGCAAUUAAUUGUAGCCAUGAAUAUGACUACAUGCUGAGUCCUGUGUCUUCUGGAAAAAUUCCAAACCUGAGAUUGAUCUAGGGGACCACUGACACAAAGACACUUCAACUCUGAGAAAGUAAAUUAUUUGUCCUCUGCAUUGUGUCUAAUCACAAAGAUGUUAGUGCUAUGAAAAGCCAUAGUCAAUUGAGAAAAUAGCAUUGAACAUGGCAUAGUUUUACAUUUGUUUAUAUCUUUCUCUAUUUCUUUUUUCAGUAUCCUAUAGUUCUCUGAGUAGAGGUAUUUUACAACUUUGGUUAAGUUUAUUCCUAGGUAUCUUAUUUUUUUAGUCACAGUGGUAAAUGGGAUU